CAGCAGCCACGGUAAUACGAAGGGGGCUAGCGUUGCUCGGAAUGACUGGGCGUAAAGCGUGCGCAGGCGGUUAUGUAAGACAGUUGUGAAAUCCCCGGGCUCAACCUGGGAACUGCAUCUGUGACUGCAUGGCUAGAGUACGGUAGAGGGGGAUGGAAUUCCGCGUGUAGCAGUGAAAUGCGUAGAUAUGCGGAGGAACACCGAUGGCGAAGGCAAUCCCCUGGACCUGUACUGACGCUCAUGCACGAAAGCGUGGGGAGCAAACAGGAUUAGAUACCCGUGUAGUCCCUGUCUCUUAUAC
RNAcentral lists this ribosomal RNA (301 nucleotides) under uncultured bacterium. RNAcentral describes it as "partial 16S ribosomal RNA". It matches the Rfam family "Bacterial small subunit ribosomal RNA", at positions 509 to 807 of the family's 1533-position model. The record is from RNAcentral.